AGAGUUUGAUCCUGGCUCAGAGCGAACGCUGGCGGCAUGCUUAACACAUGCAAGUCUCACGGGCAGCAAUGUCAGUGGCGGACGGGUGAGUAACGCGUAGGGAUCUGUCCUCGGGUGGGGGAUAACUGUGGGAAACUACAGCUAAUACCGCAUGAAACCUGUGGGUCAAAGGCGCAAGUCGCCUGAGGAGGAACCUGCGU
RNAcentral lists this ribosomal RNA (200 nucleotides) under uncultured bacterium. Its description in RNAcentral is "partial 16S ribosomal RNA". It matches the Rfam family "Bacterial small subunit ribosomal RNA", at positions 8 to 236 of the family's 1533-position model. The record is from RNAcentral.